CUUUUUAUAUUUUAAUUAAAAUUAAAGCUUUGGGAGUUUUAGAUUCUGUGAAUUGCAGAUAAAGAGA
This 67-nucleotide transfer RNA is filed under the name Cuspidaria undata. Its description in RNAcentral is "tRNA-Pro". Lineage: Eukaryota; Metazoa; Mollusca; Bivalvia; Cuspidariidae. The record is from RNAcentral.